AUUGAACGCUGGCUGCAGGCUUAACACAUGCCAGUCGAGCGAGCGGCGGACGGGUGAGUAAUGUCUGGGAAACUGCCUGAUGGAGGGGGAUAACUACUUGAAACGGUAGCUAAUACCGCAUACCAUCGGAUGUGCCCAGAUGGGAUUAGCUAGUAGGGGGGGUAAUGGCUCACCUAGGCGACGAGCCCUAGCUGGUCUGCGAGGAGGACAAGCCACACUGGAACGGAGACACGGUCCAGACUCCUACGGGAGGCAGCAGUGGGGAAUAUUGCACAAUGGGCGCAAGCCUGAUGCAGCCAUGCCGCGUGUGUGAAGAAGGCAUUCGGGUUGUAAAGCACUUUCAGCGAGGAGGCGUUACUCGCAGAAGAAGCACCGGCUAACUCCGUGCCAGCCGCCGCGGUAAUAC
This 406-nucleotide ribosomal RNA is filed under the name uncultured bacterium. RNAcentral's name for it is "partial 16S ribosomal RNA". It matches the Rfam family "Bacterial small subunit ribosomal RNA", at positions 30 to 526 of the family's 1533-position model. The record is from RNAcentral.